AGCAAACCUGUGCUUUUUAAUUCUGCUUCCUGUUUGGAGGUCAACUGCAGUGAGGUCUCUAUACCACAGAGUGGUGAGUCCCCAAGUCCCGGUGAACUUAGGAAAUGGGCAUUAUCCUCUGGAAGACGUUUAUAGAGGUGACUUUUUUGGUAAGUCCCUGGGACUCCUGUUGACAUGGGAAUUACUUUCUUCCCUCAGUUGUUGGCGUCUCACAUGGCCAUUCAUCAGCUCAAUACAAACAAGUCUUCACGGAGGUGGAGUUUCCUCCUCACCUGUUGCUAAACCAGGCAGCGUGGAUUGGCAUAUUCACUGACUUCAUGGCACGAAGGCCUACAAAAGCGGAACAACUUUUCACCAGUGCAAAAAUGUUCCAAAAGAUACUCUCUCUGUCCAAUACACUUGUAAGUGCAUUCUAGAAUAUAAAAAAUAGAGAGAGAUAAAUGUUCUGUUGAAAGAUAAUCUCCCAAAAUAUAAGUUUUUAUGUAA
Homo sapiens (human) is the source of this 486-nucleotide long non-coding RNA. Ensembl annotates it as long intergenic non-protein coding RNA 393. NCBI's taxonomy places the organism in Eukaryota, Metazoa, Chordata, Mammalia, Primates, Hominidae. The record is from Ensembl.